CCUGAAGCCGUUGACGGCCGCGGACGAGCAUGGCUGCUCUACAUCCGGGGUUUCGCCGUCACUUCAUUUUGCUCAAAGGGUCCUGUGCAGCAACGGGGACGCCAUUGAGUGUCGUUGGCGUGUCGACCACUUCCCAGGUUCUAGCAGAUUGUUGGUGGAGACCGCUACAGCAGGCUCGUGCAGACUGGUGGUGUUGGUGGGGACCGCUACAGCCAUCGGAAGGGAUUUGGCAGGAGGUGGAGCCUUCUUUGCUUGACUUUUACUGCCAAGGAUGGAAGGUUUGAUUUCAUAGUCAUGGCCUCUUCCACUAGUUCACUGACUGAGCACUCCAUUAGGGCUUCUGAUGUCCUGGCCCGG
Long non-coding RNA from Engraulis encrasicolus (European anchovy), 357 nucleotides. RefSeq lists it as uncharacterized. Lineage: Eukaryota; Metazoa; Chordata; Actinopteri; Clupeiformes; Engraulidae. The transcript is spliced from 3 exons. The record is from RefSeq and is a predicted model, not a curated record.